RNAcentral lists this long non-coding RNA (1236 nucleotides) under Capra hircus (goat). RNAcentral's name for it is "lncRNA (ENSCHIG00010032225.1)". Lineage: Eukaryota; Metazoa; Chordata; Mammalia; Artiodactyla; Bovidae. The record is from RNAcentral.
UUUAUUUUAACUUUCAUAUUUUAUAUUAUUUUAUCAGUAUCUAUUCUAAUGGAUACCAUGGAAGAAGCAUACAAAAAGCCUUAAUUAUAAAUGUUAUUUUACUUUGUGAGGAAAACAAAGCAAAUCAACAAAUUAUAUAAACAAAAAUAUUCAGCAAAGAAGUACCAUUAGAUAUGACACCAACUGUGGUAUAAAAACAAACCAUGAAUAUGUGUGUGAUUCUGCCCUCAUUCCNNNNNNNNNNNNNNNNNNNNNNNNNNNNNNNNNNNNNNNNNNNNNNNNAUGCCUCUUUCAUUAUUGUGUUAUAAAGUGACUCCUGAAGAAUUUUGUUUCUUGAGACCGCAUUUGAUCAUAAGCAGAAUUUGGCCCUAAUUAAAAUAGGAUUAUCAUGGGAUACUAUAUCAAAGAAAUGUGCUUCUGAGGUAGGUAUUCUUUUACCUAUUUUCGGUGGGUAUUCUUUUACCUAUUUUCCUUUAAUAGAUAUAAUGAAGGCCAGAACAUAUGACCCUUUUCAAAUAACAACUCUUUGGAAAAUAUAUCUGGCCUUGGUAAACAGAUUUUUAUGUUCAAAUGGAAGAUUAAAUGAGCCUUACUCUUUGGAAAAUAUGUCUGGCUUUGGCAAACAGAUUUUUAUGUUUGAAUGGAAGAUUAAAUUAGCCUUAGCCAUUUCUUAAUGCAUAGAGAAAACUCCUAGGAGAAACAAAGACGAAUGUCUACAGAGUUUUGUUUUCUGUGGAAAAUGACUCUGUGUUUAUAUAGUUUGAUUAUUCAGUAUACUGAGGUUAAAUACAAUAGGACAUCUUGUAAAAAAUUUUUGUAGUAAUUUUAUGGAGUAGACUAAACUGCCAUUAAGAAAAGAGCCCCAAAGUACGUGGCUCCAAGGACAAUGAAGUUUAUUUGUCUCCCAGCUAACGGGGCAAGAUAAGUGCCUCAGCUUGGUGGGCAGCUCUGCGUCAGUCACUGGAGACCCAGGCUGGCAACAGUUCUGCCCUCAACAGCUGGUGUGCAGGGCUGUUCAGGUCUAGCUGGUCAAGUAGGGGAAAGAGAGGGAGUCUCCCGCCAGGGAGAUCCACUUAAGCAGGUAAGGCAAAAGUUCUUCAAACCGCUUGUACUCACAUUCCAUUGGCAAGCAUCCAGUCCCACUGCCACACCUGGCUCCGCAGACUGGAAAAUCAUGGCAGUCUCUCUAUGUGGCCUGGAAGGAAGAGGGGAAAAACAGAAAUAGUGGACAACUGC